This 465-nucleotide ribosomal RNA is filed under the name Vreelandella stevensii. RNAcentral describes it as "partial 16S ribosomal RNA". It matches the Rfam family "Bacterial small subunit ribosomal RNA", at positions 338 to 795 of the family's 1533-position model. The record is from RNAcentral. Lineage: Bacteria; Pseudomonadati; Pseudomonadota; Gammaproteobacteria; Oceanospirillales; Halomonadaceae.
CCUACGGGAGGCUGCAGUGGGGAAUAUUGGACAAUGGGCGAAAGCCUGAUCCAGCCAUGCCGCGUGUGUGAAGAAGGCCUUCGGGUUGUAAAGCACUUUCAGUGGGGAAGAAAGCCUUGGGGCUAAUACCCUCGAGGAAGGACAUCACCCACAGAAGAAGCACCGGCUAACUCCGUGCCAGCAGCCGCGGUAAUACGGAGGGUGCGAGCGUUAAUCGGAAUUACUGGGCGUAAAGCGCGCGUAGGCGGUCUGAUAAGCCGGUUGUGAAAGCCCCGGGCUCAACCUGGGAACGGCAUCCGGAACUGUCAGGCUAGAGUGCAGGAGAGGAAGGUAGAAUUCCCGGUGUAGCGGUGAAAUGCGUAGAGAUCGGGAGGAAUGCCAGUGGCGAAGGCGGCCUUCUGGACUGACACUGACGCUGAGGUGCGAAAGCGUGGGUAGCAAACAGGAUUAGAUACCCGAGUAGUC